AAAAAAAUGAUUUUGUCACAAGACGAAUUUCUUCUACUACCUUGUUUUCAGGAGGUUCUUCAAAUUGCCUAGCUAUUCCAAUUUAUUGGAACCAAGUUGUCACAAAUAGGUCUCGGCUCCGCAUUGAUCGGGUCGAUUUUUUCCCGUUUCAAAUUCAGCUUGACGUAUCUUCAUAGCUUGGCCCAUACUUCUUUUGGUUCAUAAAUUCCUUAACUGGAAAGAUUCGGAUCCGGAUCCUACUAAGUUAUUUGGGCUGUACUUCAAUGUUCAGUAGGUCACUAUCCUUCUCCUAAACUUCAAGACCAAAUGGAUCAAAAAGGAAACAAUUAUUUCCUGCUUCUCUGGAUGUUCUAUUUCCUUCGCAUUGCUCUCACUGUUUGUUAGACAAAUUACGAUGGUAAAAUAAACCAAACGCUCAGAUAAAGAACUUUGGCUGGUGACUACACACUGGUACAAUUGGAAAUUUUGCCAUUCAUUCUUGGGUUUUCUGUUACGAAUCUUCAUCGAUAUCGCACAAGAUACUGAAACAACCACGUCCCUUUCAAGGCGGGCAAUUGCUACGUGUGACGAAAGGAACUGUGGACAUGAUCCUCAUAAUAACUCACAUUUUGAACGAACAUCACAUUUCCAACGAGGAUCAUGGCUGAAACCAGAAGCAUCGACUAAAAGGUAUAUGUGAUACAUUUAAGUGUAAAAAAUUGUGUCGUUCAUCUAAAUGAAGAGGGAUUUUCCAUCGAAUUGGAAGUCACUUCUAACAAAUCAGCUAACGUGUCUACUACAUUUUAAAGAUUUAAUUAGAAGGGAUUAUCUACCCCCCCCUCUCCUAAACUACACGGAACUAAGACCAUGGAGGAAUAAAAAUUAAAACACGGACAACUAAACACAUAAAAAGAACUGAAACACUGUAUUAACUGUAACCUUAAAGAAGAAUUUAAAUAAGUCAUUAUCAGAAAGCAUCUGUGUAAGACUAUUGAAUUGUAUCAAUUAUGUAAUUAAAAUGAGAAAUUAACAUUA
Molecule: long non-coding RNA, 1014 nt
Filed under: Daphnia magna
Lineage: Eukaryota; Metazoa; Arthropoda; Branchiopoda; Diplostraca; Daphniidae
Description: uncharacterized LOC123470983, transcript variant X5
Source: RNAcentral